UUUACCCUACGGGGGGCAGCAGUAGGGAAUUUUCGUCAAUGGGCGCAAGCCUGAACGAGCGAUGCCGCGUGAGUGAAGAAGGCCUUCGGGUCGUAAAGCUCUGUUGCGGGGGAAAAAAGGCAGCAUCAGGAAAUGGGUGCUGACUGAUGGUGCCCCGCCAGAAAGUCACGGCUAACUACGUGCCAGCAGCCGCGGUAAUACGGAGGAUGCGAGCGUUAUCCGGAUUUAUUGGGUUUAAAGGGUGCGUAGGCGGGCUUUUAAGUCAGCGGUAAAAAUUCGGGGCUCAACCCCGGCCGGCCGGUGUA
RNAcentral lists this ribosomal RNA (305 nucleotides) under uncultured bacterium. RNAcentral's name for it is "bacterial SSU rRNA". It matches the Rfam family "Bacterial small subunit ribosomal RNA", at positions 333 to 631 of the family's 1533-position model. The record is from RNAcentral.